RNAcentral lists this unclassified non-coding RNA (299 nucleotides) under Zea mays. RNAcentral describes it as "misc RNA Zm00001eb264180". Lineage: Eukaryota; Viridiplantae; Streptophyta; Magnoliopsida; Poales; Poaceae. The record is from RNAcentral.
CUUCUGGUGCCUGAGCGCCACCGCCGGCACGACGAAACCAGCAGUGCCGGCGGCGGAAGCACCGACGCCUCGCUUCCGGAGGCUUCGGAUCCUGAGAUGGAUGCCUCUUUCGGUGGUCACCGAAGGAUUCUCGCCGCCCCUCCUGGACCUCAGCCUCGCGGGCUUCUCCUCGUCGGGCGGUGGAAGCACUGCGGGCGCUCUGGUGCUCCUGGACCGCAGCUUGAAGGCGCCCGAGUUCCUGCUCGCUUGUCGCGCGAACGGGUGCCGCGCGGACCUGCUGCUGAUGCUCAUGCUCUGCA